Molecule: ribosomal RNA, 612 nt
Filed under: uncultured bacterium
Lineage: Bacteria
Description: bacterial SSU rRNA
Rfam family: Bacterial small subunit ribosomal RNA
Source: RNAcentral
CCUACGGGAGGCAGCAGUAAGGAAUAUUGGUCAAUGGACGAAAGUCUGAACCAGCCAUGCCGCGUGAAGGAUGACGGCCCUCUGGGUUGUAAACUUCUUUUAUCUGGGACGAAAAAAAGGGAAUUCUUUCUCACUUGACGGUACCAGAGGAAUAAGCACCGGCUAACUCCGUGCCAGCAGCCGCGGUAAUACGGAGGGUGCAAGCGUUAUCCGGAUUCACUGGGUUUAAAGGGAGCGUAGGUGGGCAGGUAAGUCAGUGGUGAAAUCUCCGGGCUUAACCCGGAAACUGCCAUUGAUACUAUUUGUCUUGAAUUAUCUGGAGGUAAGCGGAAUAUGUCAUGUAGCGGUGAAAUGCUUAGAUAUGACAUAGAACACCCAUUGCGAAGGCAGCUUACUACGGAUAUAUUGACACUGAGGCUCGAAAGCGUGGGGAGUCAAACAGGAUUAGAUACCCUGGUAGUCCACGCCCUAAACGAUGGAUACUCGACAUCAGCGAUACACUGUUGGUGUCUGAGCGAAAGCAUUAAGUAUCCCACCUGGAAGUACGACCGCAGGUUGAAACUCAAAGAGUAGUAGCGUCGAGUGCCGUAGCCGAGACGACGGGAGAGGGAG